GGAAUCUUCCACAAUGGACGCAAGUCUGAUGGAGCAACGCCGCGUGAGUGAAGAAGGGUUUCGGCUCGUAAAGCUCUGUUGUUAAAGAAGAACGUGGGUAAGAGUAACUGUUUACCCAGUGACGGUAUUUAACCAGAAAGCCACGGCUAACUACGUGCCAG
Molecule: ribosomal RNA, 161 nt
Filed under: uncultured bacterium
Lineage: Bacteria
Description: partial 16S ribosomal RNA
Rfam family: Bacterial small subunit ribosomal RNA
Source: RNAcentral